This 640-nucleotide ribosomal RNA is filed under the name uncultured Alphaproteobacteria bacterium. Its description in RNAcentral is "bacterial SSU rRNA". It matches the Rfam family "Bacterial small subunit ribosomal RNA", at positions 224 to 882 of the family's 1533-position model. Lineage: Bacteria; Pseudomonadati; Pseudomonadota; Alphaproteobacteria. The record is from RNAcentral.
GAUCGGCCCGCGUCUGAUUAGCUAGUUGGUGAGGUAACGGCUCACCAAGGCGACGAUCAGUAGCUGGUCUGAGAGGAUGACCAGCCUCGCUGGGACUGAGACACGGCCCAGACUCCUACGGGAGGCAGCAGUGGGGAAUAUUGGACAAUGGGCGCAAGCCUGAUCCAGCCAUGCCGCGUGGAUGAUGAAGGCCCUAGGGUUGUAAAGUUCUUUCAGCGGGGAAGAUAAUGACGGUACCCACAGAAGAAGCCCCGGCUAACUUCGUGCCAGCAGCCGCGGUAAUACGAAGGGGGCUAGCGUUGCUCGGAAUUACUGGGCGUAAAGCGCACGUAGGCGGCUUUCUAAGUCGGGGGUGAAAUCCUGGAGCUUAACUCCAGAACUGCCUUCGAUACUGGAGAGCUCGAGUCCGGGAGAGGUGAGUGGAACUGCGAGUGUAGAGGUGAAAUUCGUAGAUAUUCGCAAGAACACCAGUGGCGAAAGCGGCUCACUGGCCCGGUACUGACGCUGAAGUGCGAAAGCGUGGGGAGCAAACCAGAUUAGAUACCCUGGUAGUCCACGCUGUAAACGAUGGAAGCUAGCCGUUGGCGAGCUUGCCUGUCAGUGGCACCCCUUAAGCUUUUAACCUCCCGCCUGGGGAGUU